GGACGAACGCUGGCGGCGUGCUUAACACAUGCAAGUCGAACGAUGAACCACUUCGGUGGGGAUUAGUGGCGAACGGGUGAGUAACACGUGGGCAAUCUGCCCUGCACUCUGGGACAAGCCCUGGAAACGGGGUCUAAUACCGGAUUCGACGCGCUCAGGCAUCUGAUGCGCGUGGAAAGCUCCGGCGGUGCAGGAUGAGCCCGCGGCCUAUCAGCUUGUUGGUGAGGUAACGGCUCACCAAGGCGACGACGGGUAGCCGGCCUGAGAGGGCGACCGGCCACACUGGGACUGAGACACGGCCCAGACUCCUACGGGAGGCAGCAGUGGGGAAUAUUGCACAAUGGGCGAAAGCCUGAUGCAGCGACGCCGCGUGAGGGGAUGACGGCCUUCGGGUUGUAAACCUCUUUCAGCAGGGAAGAAGCGAAAGUGACGGUACCUGCAGAAGAAGCGCCGGGCUAACUACGUGCCAGCAGCCGCGGUAAUACGUAAGGGCGGCGAGCGUUGGUCCGGAAUUAUGGGGCGUAAAAGCCUCGUAAGCCGCUUGUUCACGUCCGGGUGUGAAGGCCCGGGGCCUAAACCCCGGGUCUGCAGUCGAAUACGGCAGGCUAAGUUCCGUUAGGGGAGAAUCGAAUUCCUGGUGUACGGUGAAAUGGCCGGAUAUAAAGAGAACCCGGGUGCGAAGGCGGAUCCGGG
RNAcentral lists this ribosomal RNA (693 nucleotides) under uncultured Streptomyces sp. RNAcentral's name for it is "bacterial SSU rRNA". It matches the Rfam family "Bacterial small subunit ribosomal RNA", at positions 27 to 733 of the family's 1533-position model. Lineage: Bacteria; Bacillati; Actinomycetota; Actinomycetes; Kitasatosporales; Streptomycetaceae. The record is from RNAcentral.